This 229-nucleotide ribosomal RNA is filed under the name uncultured bacterium. Its description in RNAcentral is "partial 16S ribosomal RNA". It matches the Rfam family "Bacterial small subunit ribosomal RNA", at positions 103 to 334 of the family's 1533-position model. The record is from RNAcentral.
CGGGUAGAGUAAUAUAUGGACGUAUCCAAGUAAUGGGGGAUAACUAGUCGAAGAUUAGCUAAUACCGCAUACGCCCUGAGGGGGGAAAAGGCGGGGAUCUUCGGACCUAGCGUUAAUGGAGCGGCCGAUAUCUGAUUAGCUAGUAGGUGAGGUAAGAGCUCACCUAGGCGACGAUCAGUAGCUGGUCUGAGAGGACGACCAGCCACACUGGAACUGAGACACGGUCCAG